GUAACAUUGACAGCUAGCCUGCUAGCUAACAUUAGCUAACAAUUAGGCUAAUGUUAUAUGAGAAGCAUAAGCAGCUAAACACUGUACAGUUGCGAUGCCAAGAAAUGAGCGCACAAAGCGGAAAAUGCAAAGGGAACAAGACAAAAUUAUCAUACUUAACAAACAGAAGUGUGUUCAAAUGCUGAAGACUUUCCUACCAGCAGUCAAUAUAAUCUUCAGGGCUCCCAAAUUGAAAAUAUCAAAUGUUACAAAUCUAGCUAAAUAACAGACUCACUUUUAAGGCCCAUGUUUCCUUUUGCUAUAUUCAAGACUGGUGUACUUAAAGCAUCUUGAGUCUGUUUAUCACAGUGCACUUCAUUUUAUCACAGGUGAUAAUUUCCUUAUUCACCAUUGUAUCUUAUAAGAAAAGGUGUGACUGUCCCUUCAAACAAUCAACAGGGCGUUGCUCUUUACAUUUUUAUGCAUAAAACUCUUUUUUUAUAUACUUUAUUUUAUUGUCAUCAUGGCAUUUCAUACAUUUUACUUAUGUUAUAUAGCCCAUGUAAUGAUGACAAUACAUUUUUUUAAUGAUAUACGUAAAUAAUGUGUGUGGGUGUGUCACCCAGUGAUACAUCGUACAAUAAAUUAUACAAUAACUUAAAAUAAAUAAAUAAUUUAUUUAUGCAUAAAACUCUAUUGGAAAACUAUCUCAUUACAUUUGCUCUCUGAUCACAGACAAAUACAGUAUUUAUAAUUACAGGACAUUUUAACUUUAGCUGUGCUACAUGUUCAACCUGCGCUUGGCAAAACAAGUUUUAAAUACUAUGUUCCUUACAAAUGUAGUACGUUAAAGAGCACUUUCUGUACAUGUUUUUCUGGUACACAGGUCUCUCUUAAAAGAAAAAAAGAUAUUGAUCUCAAUGGCACUACCUGUUCAAAUAAAGGAUUUACCAACUAACUCAUAUUCAUGACAGCAUUUCAUUUUUUGCUUAUUAAAAGUUUUAAAAAAAAAUUAACCUAAAGAUGCUUAACUACAACUUACUCCCAUGCAGCAAUACAAAAACAUCUAGUUAAAACAUACAUGUCAUUUAUACAUAAUGUACAGCACAUAGAAAGGGAAGAGGUCAAGAAAAAGGAAUUCAUUCAAAACAUAUUAAAUAAGUUUUCUUUUGUUGGUUUGUCAGAUAAACUAUAAUUACACUGUCAGGGCUUAACAUCUAUAUGGCUACUAUGAAUGAGGAAAGCUGAAAAACUGAAAGUAAAGUACAUAAUGUAAAUGCCAUCAGAAGGAAGACAAGGAAUUUCCUAAAAUAUACUGUAAUUAUUUAUAGGUAACUAAACUCAACACCAGAAAGUGGUAAUGUAAGUACCAUUAAAGCUAAAUUGCCAAAAUGUGACACCCAAACCAGACUAUUAUAUUUUAUUUAUCAUACUUUACUUUAUCUCGCUCAUUGCUGACCAUUUUUUUUCUCUCUUCCCUCCAGGCAUUGUGUAUACCACACAUGACAUGUAAAUUAGCAUACUAUUGAUUGUCAGUCAGGAACAUCAAGAGAGAACAUUCUGUGUAAAUUACACAUUAUUAAUUAAAUACAAUUAAACUCGAUCAUAUAAAACUAAUACAUUCAAAUGUGUUGACAUUCAAGUUCACACACAAACAGGGAAAUCGAAUUAAAGUGUUAUUGAAGAAACCGAACAAUAUAUUUUUCCAGUAGAGUGAAAAGUCAGAGUCAAUAAUAUCAAUGAUAUACUGGGUUACAUCCUUCCAGAAAUUGAUAGUGUAAGGACACUGCCAGAAUAGGUGUUGCAUUGUUUCUGGAUGCAUUUCACAAAAUGAACAGUUAACACAGGUAUAUUUUCUGAACUUAAGAAGAUAAUGAUUAACAGAAUAAUAUCUAUAUAUGAUUUUGAAAGAAACUUCCCUCAUCUUAUUAGUAAGAAGAUAUUUACAUGGAAGAUUCCAGACAUUUUUCCAAUUCAGGUUAUCGACAAAUCUAGACCAGUAGGAUACAACAUCAUGAACUGCCUUUUCAUCCGGACCAUGGAUAUAUUAUAAGAGCUGGAUACCGGACUAAAAAUAGCGCCCAUUCAGUCCUGUAGGAAAUGUUCGUCUGGCGCACAUGCCAAAAAAGUUUCUAGCUUCUGGGUUUGCUUCCGCGUUGUGCGGCCCACUGAAUACGCGCAGUAGUAUUUCCCCCGCUGGUCCCGCCUGCGAGUUCCCGCUCGGCCCAUAGACUUUACAUUGUGAUGACGUCACGGAUUUUUAAAUCGCUU
Molecule: long non-coding RNA, 2250 nt
Organism: Thunnus maccoyii (southern bluefin tuna)
Lineage: Eukaryota; Metazoa; Chordata; Actinopteri; Scombriformes; Scombridae
Exons: 3
Source: RefSeq, a predicted model, not a curated record